CUUAUUUCCUGAGGAAGUUUAGAUGACUCUUGUGUUGAAGAUUAAUCUCCAUGUUGUAACAUGAACUACUACAGAGGAGGUUUUAAAUCCUUUGCCAGGUGUUUCUACGUCUGUCUGUCCCAACCGUGAGGCUGCAGUCAGGAAACUUUACAGCUGUGUAGUUGAGAUCUAAAUGAAGGCUGAGUUUGAAGAUGGGGGGGGGUCUGAGCCUUUCUCCUGCUGUCAGAAAACACACCGUCGUCUCCACCAGCGUAAAGUCAGACACAACAGGACUCUACUGUUUCCUCUGGGACCUUUCAGAAUAAAAUGUAGUGACCUAAAUGCCUCUGUUACUGUUGUAGUGAUGUGUGGAGGAGGAGAAGUGUCUUUAAUGUCAUUGUUUUUAACGUCUCAGGCAGGGUUUCUCUACCAUUGGAGCCGUUUUAGGUACCACCUAACUGAAUUAAUGUGAAGUCAAUCCCUUCCUGCCUGCUUCCUGACAGGUGGAGCUGGGACUCAUUCCAGGAAACAGCUCACCUGUGUCAGAGAUUUCUCUCCAGGUGGAGAGUGACCCUCUUCUUCAUCAACUCUUCUUCAUCAACUCUUCUUCAUCAACUCUUUGGACUGUUUGAGGAAACUAAAACAAACGGUCGUCUCCAUCAGAGUAAAGUGAGACACAACACAACUCUACUGUUUCUGAUAAAAGGUUCAAGGUUCAAGGUUCGGCUUUAUUGGCAUUAUACAACAGAAUUGUCCAAUGAAAUGCAAUCGUCAUUUACAGCUGGCUCUGAUGAAUUUAAGUUACCAACCGGGCUGCCUCUGUGGACUUUGGGCUAAAAUAUAUGAAAGAAAAGUCAAAAUAUCGGAAAGAAAGUCAAACAUUAUUCCAAAAAGGCGACAAAAACCUUAAAAAAGGAACAAAAACUUGUAAAAAGCCCCCCUCCAUAAGUCCUGCCUAUGUGUACAUAGUUUUCUCUCCACGUUAGUUAUCUGGGCAUUAGGGCUCAACCAUGUGGGGGAAACAAUCUAAUUGUGAUUUUUCUGCCAAGUUAGUCUUUGGUCUCUUCAGGGUUAGUUUCUGGCUCUGUAAUGUUAAAUAUAAUGUUUCUACUUCACUUCUUAUUUCCUGAGAAAGUGUUAAGGACUCUUGUGUUGAAGAUCAGAAAUCUGUCUGCAGCAGUUAGUGUCGGUCGUUCUAUUCACUGACAGGACUGAUGUGGAGACAACAUGACUCAGCUCUUUUAUUCUCUAACUAAACCAACUAAUAUGGAACUGCGUCACUAUGAGCUGGCACUCCUCCAACAGGAACUAGUGGCACUUCUUUAUGAUGCAACUCUGUGUUCAAAUUCAAUAACAUGUUAUUUGUAGUGUCCAAUCCUAAUCAGGACACUCUACAAAUAGAUUAGGUGUAGACCAAACUCUCAGCAAUCAUUUGGUGUCGAGAUAAAAACUUCUGA
Perca fluviatilis (European perch) is the source of this 1436-nucleotide long non-coding RNA. RefSeq lists it as uncharacterized. The transcript has 3 exons. The record is from RefSeq and is a predicted model, not a curated record. Lineage: Eukaryota; Metazoa; Chordata; Actinopteri; Perciformes; Percidae.